Pocillopora verrucosa is the source of this 501-nucleotide non-coding RNA. Lineage: Eukaryota; Metazoa; Cnidaria; Anthozoa; Scleractinia; Pocilloporidae. The record is from RefSeq and is a predicted model, not a curated record.
CAUUUCUGCCAAAGGAGUAGACCAGCAGCAAGGGAAGACUUAGACUGAGAAGACCAAGUGGUUAAACAAGAUUUGGGUUUCAGCAAGGAGAUUCCGUCCGGUACAGAUGCCUACAAGUAAUUUAUUGAUUACAAUCGUCAUGAUAACAACUACACAAUUUGCAAGCGCUAUUUUCGUGGUUGCUCUUUUGGUAUCAGAAGUCAAUGAGGAGGGGGUAUUCGGUCAGUGGGUCGUGGAAGCCUUAUAACUGCGUGUGCAGUCUAGGAACGUGCCGAAUUUUCAUGAGCGAUAUCCAUGCCUCAAUUAAACUGUUAUUGACGACUGUAAAGUAAAUGCUAGGUGGUUAAACAUUUUAUCGAUCUAUAGGUAAUAGUUGGAAAGGACAUUUUAACAAAUACUUUUGUAAAUAUUUCUUAGCUUUGUUGAAACGUAGAGCUCAACGUAAAAUGAAUUUUUUUGAAAGGAAAUUUUGCUAUACUUGUUGAGUAGCCUAGUUCGGAA